CCUACGGGAGGCAGCAGUAGGGAAUUUUCCGCAAUGGGCGAAGGCCUGACGGAGCAAUACCGCGUGAGGGAUGACUGCCUAUGGGUUGUAAACCUCUUUUUUCAGGGAGGAAUAAAUGACGUGUACCUGAAGAAUAAGCAUCGGCUAACUCCGUGCCAGCAGCCGCGGUAAGACGGAGGAUGCAAGUGUUAUCCGGAAUCACUGGGCGUAAAGCGUCUGUAGGUGGCUCGACAAGUCAACUGUUAAAUCUUGAAGCUCAACUUCAAAAUCGCAGUCGAAACUAUCGGACUAGAGUAUAGUAGAGGUAAAGGGAAUUUCCAGUGGAGCGGUGAAAUGCGUAGAGAUUGGAAAGAACACCGAUGGCGAAGGCACUUUACUGGGCUAUUACUGACACUCAGAGACGAAAGCUAGGGUAGCAAAUGGGAUUAGAUACCCCAGUAGUCCUAGCCGUAAACAAUGGAUACUAGGUGUUGAACAGAUCGACCUGUGCAGUACCAAAGCUAACGCGUUAAGUAUCCCGCCUGGGAAGUAUGCACGCAAGUGUGAAACUCAAAUGAAUUGACGG
RNAcentral lists this ribosomal RNA (565 nucleotides) under uncultured bacterium. Its description in RNAcentral is "bacterial SSU rRNA". It matches the Rfam family "Bacterial small subunit ribosomal RNA", at positions 338 to 916 of the family's 1533-position model. The record is from RNAcentral.